UACGAAGGGGGCUAGCGUUGCUCGGAAUUACUGGGCGUAAAGGGCGCGUAGGCGGAUGUCUAAGUCAGAGGUUAAAUCCCAGGGCUCAACCCUGGAACUGCCUUUGAUACUGAACAUCUUGAGUACGGGAGAGGUGUGUGGAACUCCGAGUGUAGAGGUGAAAUUCGUAGAUAUUCGGAAGAACACCAGUGGCGAAGGCGACACACUGGCCCGUUACUGACGCUGAGGCGCGAAAGCUAGGGGAGCAAACAGG
RNAcentral lists this ribosomal RNA (253 nucleotides) under uncultured bacterium. Its description in RNAcentral is "partial 16S ribosomal RNA". It matches the Rfam family "Bacterial small subunit ribosomal RNA", at positions 524 to 776 of the family's 1533-position model. The record is from RNAcentral.